UCUCGGCUUAUCACCGGCAGCCCCCCUAGAGUGCCCAACUGAAUGAUGGCAACUAGGGGCGAGGGUUGCGCUCGUUGCGGGACUUAACCCAACAUCUCACGACACGAGCUGACGACAACCAUGCACCACCUGUCCACCGACCCCGAAGGGAAACCCCAUCUCUGGGGCGGUCCGGUGAAUGUCAAGCCUUGGUAAGGUUCUUCGCGUUGCAUCGAAUUAAACCACAUGCUCCACCGCUGUGCGGGCCCCCGUCAAUUCCUUUGAGUUUCAUUCUUGCGAACGUACUCCCCAGGUGGGUUACUUAUCACUUUCGCUUAGCCACUCAGUCUUACAACCGAACAGCUAGUAACCAACGUUUACGGCGUGGACUAC
This 372-nucleotide unclassified non-coding RNA is filed under the name uncultured bacterium. RNAcentral describes it as "contains 16S-23S intergenic spacer region". The record is from RNAcentral.